AGCCGAUAAAGGUAAACCCGGGGAAAUCCGGGGACACAAAACUACAGGCCUAAAUUGUCUAAUACCUAAGAGGCCCUGAAGUAACAUUCCGGGCAUUUUAAGACCGUGGCUGGUUGAGGACAACAUGGCGGCUGAGUUGCCGAA
This 144-nucleotide non-coding RNA is filed under the name Candidatus Omnitrophota bacterium. RNAcentral's name for it is "Omnitrophica WOR c-di-GMP sequence". It matches the Rfam family "c-di-GMP-I riboswitch aptamer". Rfam says of the family: GEMM was predicted in a large-scale screen for bacterial structured RNA regulatory elements. Genes associated with GEMM are involved in a diverse array of functions, including chemotaxis regulation, signal transduction, secretion and chitin. Lineage: Bacteria; Pseudomonadati; Candidatus Omnitrophota. The record is from RNAcentral.